GGAGGGCAAGUCUGGUGCCAGCAGCCGCGGUAAUUCCAGCUCCAAGAGCAUAUAUUAAAGUUGUUGCAGUUAAAAAGCUCGUAGUUGGACUUCUGGUUUAAUGCACCUGGCCCGCGGCCCACAAGGCCUGUGAGUGCCGGCGCGCGUUUACCAUCCUUCCAGCAGCGGCUACCCUUAACUGGGCGGCUGGAACUGGAUCUUUUACUUUGAAAAAUUAGAGUGUUUAAGCAGGC
This 233-nucleotide ribosomal RNA is filed under the name uncultured Paraglomus. Its description in RNAcentral is "partial 18S ribosomal RNA". It matches the Rfam family "Eukaryotic small subunit ribosomal RNA", at positions 550 to 785 of the family's 1831-position model. Lineage: Eukaryota; Fungi; Glomeromycota; Glomeromycetes; Paraglomerales; Paraglomeraceae. The record is from RNAcentral.